RNAcentral lists this ribosomal RNA (504 nucleotides) under uncultured bacterium. RNAcentral describes it as "partial 16S ribosomal RNA". It matches the Rfam family "Bacterial small subunit ribosomal RNA", at positions 30 to 523 of the family's 1533-position model. The record is from RNAcentral.
AUUGAACGCUGGCGGCAUGCCUUACACAUGCAAGUCGAACGGCAGCAUGGAGAGCUUGCUCUCUGAUGGCGAGUGGCGAACGGGUGAGUAAAGCAUCGGAACGUGCCGUGUAGUGGGGGAUAACGUAGCGAAAGUUACGCUAAUACCGCAUACGCACUGAGGUGGAAAGCAGGGGAUCGUAAGACCUUGCGCUAUACGAGCGGCCGAUGUCAGAUUAGCUAGUUGGUAGGGUAAAGGCCUACCAAGGCGACGAUCUGUAGCGGGUCUGAGAGGAUGAUCCGCCACGCUGGGACUGAGACACGGCCCAGACUCCUACGGGAGGCAGCAGUGGGGAAUUUUGGACAAUGGGGGCAACCCUGAUCCAGCCAUGCCGCGUGAGUGAAGAAGGCCUUCGGGUUGUAAAGCUCUUUCGGCCGGGAAGAAAUCGCACAGGCUAAUACCCUGUGUGGAUGACGGUACCGGCAUAAGAAGCACCGGCUAACUACGUGCCAGCAGCCGCGGUAA